Molecule: ribosomal RNA, 492 nt
Filed under: uncultured bacterium
Lineage: Bacteria
Description: partial 16S ribosomal RNA
Rfam family: Bacterial small subunit ribosomal RNA
Source: RNAcentral
AGUGAACGCUGGCGGUAGGCCUAACACAUGCAAGUCGAACGGCAGCACAGUAAGAGCUUGCUCUUACGGGUGGCGAGUGGCGGACGGGUGAGGAAUACAUCGGAAUCUACUUUUUCGUGGGGGAUAACGUAGGGAAACUUACGCUAAUACCGCAUACGACCUACGGGUGAAAGCAGGGGAUCUUCGGACCUUGCGCGAUUGAAUGAGCCGAUGUCGGAUUAGCUAGUUGGCGGGGUAAAGGCCCACCAAGGCGACGAUACGUAGCUGGUCUGAGAGGAUGAUCAGCCACACUGGAACUGAGACACGGUCCAGACUCCUACGGGAGGCAGCAGUGGGGAAUAUUGCACAAAGGGCGCAAGCCUGAUCCAGCCAUACCGCGUGGGUGAAGAAGGCCUUCGGGUUGUAAAGCCCUUUUGUUGGGAAAGAAAAGCAGCAGGUUAAUACCCCGCUGUUCUGACGGUACCCAAAGAAUAAGCACCGGCUAACUUCGUG